GACGCCGUUUUGGGGGCCACUGAAACAGGCUCUAAACGACGUCGUUUUACGACCUAUAUAUGCAUAAUUUUGAAACCCUAAAAUCAUUUUCCCUCAGCCCCUCUUCUGGUGCGCCGCAAAUUCUCUCAAAGUCCCCUUCUCUGCCGCUCCAACUCCGACCAGACAACGGCGAAAAGAAGCCUUCAAUCGCCUCCAAAAAACGGUGGAAUCGGCAUUAUGCGGAGUUGCUGAUCGUGGGUGAAGCGACGUGGGUGAAGCGACGUGGGUGAUGGGUAGUUGCUGCAACGUGGGAACGUGCGGCGCUGAGGCUACCUGCUGCUUUAGGGCUUCUGUUACCUUAGGCCAAUUGGGCCUUGUAAUUGGGUUAGGUUGUAAUUUGGGCUUUGGGUCAGUUUUAGUGAGUAUAGUUGGGCCCCGGGCACUAAUUGGGUAUUACACAAGUCAUAUUGAUGCACUUAAUGAGUCCCAUACUUAACAUAAUUCGACAUUCAGGAAGGAAGAGUCUAUAAGUUGAAAGAUAAAAGAGCACAUCUUAAACCAACCCCCCCCGCUCUUUCUAUCUAUACAUAUAGUUAAUAGUCAUGUAGAAAGCAAUGUGGGUGUUUUGUGUAAAAUCAUCAUUUCAUUCCCAA
Long non-coding RNA from Gossypium raimondii (Peruvian cotton), 632 nucleotides. RefSeq lists it as uncharacterized. NCBI's taxonomy places the organism in Eukaryota, Viridiplantae, Streptophyta, Magnoliopsida, Malvales, Malvaceae. The record is from RefSeq and is a predicted model, not a curated record. The transcript is spliced from 2 exons.